AAAAUAAUACGUUGAAGCCCCUACAGAAUACGACAUAUUAUAUGUGGUUUAAAUGAAAAAAAAAUCGACAUAUUAUAUGUGGUUUAAAAGAAAAAAGAAAAAAAAUAAAAAGGGGUUAAUUUUUUGCUUCUGACUGACAAAUAAUACAUUGAAGCCCCUAUAGAAUUCAACGUACUAUUGGUGGUUUAAAAGAAAAAAGAUAAUGACGCGCUGC
This 214-nucleotide long non-coding RNA is filed under the name Vigna radiata. RNAcentral's name for it is "long non-coding RNA (VRAD_LNC016536)". The record is from RNAcentral. Lineage: Eukaryota; Viridiplantae; Streptophyta; Magnoliopsida; Fabales; Fabaceae.